This 73-nucleotide transfer RNA is filed under the name Homo sapiens (human). Its description in RNAcentral is "tRNA-Gln (anticodon CTG) 12-1 (TRQ-CTG12-1)". It matches the Rfam family "tRNA". From Rfam's summary of the family: Transfer RNA (tRNA) molecules are approximately 80 nucleotides in length. Their secondary structure includes four short double-helical elements and three loops (D, anti-codon, and T loops). The record is from RNAcentral. Lineage: Eukaryota; Metazoa; Chordata; Mammalia; Primates; Hominidae.
GGUUCCAUGGUGUAAUGGUAAGCACCCUGGACUCUGAAUCCAGCAACCAGAGUUCCAGUCUCAGCGUGGACCU